UGAGGAAUAUUGGACAAUGGGCGCAAGCCUGAUCCAGCCAUGCCGCGUGCAGGAUGACGGUCCUAUGGAUUGUAAACUGCUUUUGUACAGGAAGAAACAGUUCUACGUGUAGAACCUUGACGGUACUGUAAGAAUAAGGAUCGGCUAACUCCGUGCCAGCAGCCGCGGUAAUACGGAGGAUCCAAGCGUUAUCCGGAAUCAUUGGGUUUAAAGGGUCCGUAGGCGGUUAGAUAAGUCAGUGGUGAAAGCCCAUCGUUCAACGGUGGAACGGCCAUUGAUACUGUCUGACUUGAAUUAUUAGGAAGUAACUAGAAUAUGUAGUGUAGCGGUGAAAUGCUUAGAGAUUACAUGGAAUACCAAUUGCGAAGGCAGGUUACUACUAAUGGAUUGACGCUGAUGGACGAAAGCGUGGGUAGCGAACAGGAUUAGAUACCCAAGUAGUCCCUGAGCGGGCUGGCAAGGCGCAU
This 467-nucleotide ribosomal RNA is filed under the name uncultured bacterium. RNAcentral's name for it is "bacterial SSU rRNA". It matches the Rfam family "Bacterial small subunit ribosomal RNA", at positions 355 to 825 of the family's 1533-position model. The record is from RNAcentral.